GGGCCUAUAGCUCAGUGGUUAGAGCAGGGGUCUCAUAAACCCUUGGUUCCCGGUUCGAAUCCGGGUGGGCCCA
Molecule: transfer RNA, 73 nt
Filed under: Planctomycetota bacterium
Lineage: Bacteria; Pseudomonadati; Planctomycetota
Description: tRNA-Ile
Rfam family: tRNA
About the family: Transfer RNA (tRNA) molecules are approximately 80 nucleotides in length. Their secondary structure includes four short double-helical elements and three loops (D, anti-codon, and T loops).
Source: RNAcentral